CCUACGGGGGGCAGCAGUGGGGAAUAGUGCGCAAUGGGCGAAAGCCUGACGCAGCGACGCCGCGUGAGGGAUGAAGGUCUUCGGAUCGUAAACCUCUGUCAGCAGGGAAGAACGGUCACUGUGCUAAUCAGCAGUGAAUUGACGGUACCUGCAAAGGAAGCACCGGCUAACUCCGUGCCAGCAGCCGCGGUAAUACGGAGGGUGCGAGCGGUAAUCGGAAUUAAUGGGCGUAAAGCGCUCGUAGGCGGUAUGUCAAGUCAAGGGUGAAAUCCCCGCGCUCAACGUGGGAACUGCCUUUGAAACUGGCAAACUGUAGUGUGUGAGAGGAUAGUGUAAUUCCAGGUGUAGGAGUGAAUUCCGUAGAUAUCUGGAGGAACAUCAGUGGCGAAGGCGACUAUCUGGCACAUAACUGCCGCUGAGGAGCGAAAGCGUGGGUAGCAAACAGGAUUAGAUACCCGGGUAGUC
This 465-nucleotide ribosomal RNA is filed under the name uncultured bacterium. RNAcentral describes it as "partial 16S ribosomal RNA". It matches the Rfam family "Bacterial small subunit ribosomal RNA", at positions 338 to 795 of the family's 1533-position model. The record is from RNAcentral.